GGGGUCGGUCCAGGUUCGACAGGCUUCCAAAACCGCGCGGAGCAGGCCGCAGCGCCCGUGGCUGCGUUACCAACGGGCAAACCGAUAAGCGCCAAGCCUUCGGUAAUCCCAUACCCCUCCUUGCCCCCCAUGCUUCGCAUGGUCGCCUAGGAGGAAUCGCCCGGAGAGUGCCCGAGUAGUAUCCGGGGGAUCAAAACUCGGGGGCCCCUGAGGGCCAGGCCACACCGAACCAACCUCCUGUGCCAAACAAAGCCUGUAUAGCGCCGCGCGUGGAGGGAGCUUGGACGGGGGUGCAACUCCCCCCGACUCCACCA
This 314-nucleotide transfer-messenger RNA is filed under the name Thermaceae. RNAcentral describes it as "Meiothermus_B sp003226535 Standard tmRNA". It matches the Rfam family "transfer-messenger RNA". From Rfam's summary of the family: Bacterial tmRNA, also known as 10Sa RNA or SsrA, is named for its dual tRNA and mRNA-like properties. Its role is to liberate the mRNA from a stalled ribosome. RNAcentral also lists the same sequence under 1 other name. Lineage: Bacteria; Thermotogati; Deinococcota; Deinococci; Thermales. The record is from RNAcentral.